This 446-nucleotide ribosomal RNA is filed under the name uncultured bacterium. RNAcentral's name for it is "bacterial SSU rRNA". It matches the Rfam family "Bacterial small subunit ribosomal RNA", at positions 15 to 507 of the family's 1533-position model. The record is from RNAcentral.
GAUCAUGGCUCAGAACGAACGCUGGCGGCAGGCCUAACACAUGCAAGUCGAGCGAACCCUUCGGGGUUAGCGGCGGACGGGUUAGUAACGCGUGGGAAUAUACCCUUUGGUACGGAAUAGCCUCGGGAAACUGAGAGUAAUACCGUAUGUGCCCUUCGGGGGAAAGAUUUAUCGCCAAAGGAUUAGCCCGCGUUGGAUUAGAUAGUUGGUGGGGUAAUGGCCUACCAAGUCUACGAUCCAUAGCUGGUUUGAGAGGAUGAUCAGCAACACUGGGACUGAGACACGGCCCAGACUCCUACGGGAGGCGGCAGUGGGGAAUCUUAGACAAUGGGCGCAAGCCUGAUCUAGCCAUGCCGCGUGGACGAUGAAGGCCUUAGGGUUGUAAAGUCCUUUCAGAUGGGAAGAUAAUGACGGUACCAUCAGAAGAAGCCCCGGCUAACUCCGUG